This 213-nucleotide long non-coding RNA is filed under the name Amborella trichopoda. RNAcentral describes it as "long non-coding RNA (ATRI_LNC003573)". Lineage: Eukaryota; Viridiplantae; Streptophyta; Magnoliopsida; Amborellales; Amborellaceae. The record is from RNAcentral.
UGGGAUAUAGAGCAGAUUUAAAAAAUAUUCAAUAAAAUUAACAAAAAGAAAAAAUAUUUAUGACUGGGUUCAAGAGCUCUGGGUUGAGACCAAUACCAUCCAAAAAAACCUUUUUUUUAUCCUAAUUGAUUCUCAUCCACAUCGAUAUCUUGUCAAGUUUUAAAUGAUGUUGUAUACGCUUUUUUCCUUAUUUCUCUAAGAGUAUAAAAUAAU